This 460-nucleotide ribosomal RNA is filed under the name uncultured bacterium. RNAcentral describes it as "partial 16S ribosomal RNA". It matches the Rfam family "Bacterial small subunit ribosomal RNA", at positions 338 to 795 of the family's 1533-position model. The record is from RNAcentral.
CCUACGGGAGGCAGCAGUGAGGAAUAUUGGUCAAUGGGCGCGAGCCUGAACCAGCCAAGUAGCGUGAAGGAUGACUGCCCUACGGGUUGUAAACUUCUUUUAUAAAGGAAUAAAGUGAGGCACGUGUGCCUUUUUGUAUGUACUUUAUGAAUAAGGAUCGGCUAACUCCGUGCCAGCAGCCGCGGUAAUAAGGAGGAUCCGAGCGUUAUCCGGAUUUAUUGGGUGUAAAGGGAGCGUAGAUUGGUUGUUAAGUCAGUUGUGAAAGUUUGCGGCUUAACCGUAAAAUUGCAAUUGAUACUGGCAGCCUUGAGUACAGUUGAGGUAGGCGGAAUGCGUGGUGUAGCGGUGAAAUGCUUAGAUAUCACGAAGAACUCCGAUUGCGAAGGCAGCUUACUAACCUGCCACUGACAUUGAUGCUCGAAAGUGUGGGUAUCAAACAGGAUUAGAUACCCUAGUAGUC